UCGAGACGAGUCAAGCGACUAAUUUGAACAAACUUCCAAAGAUCGAACCAAUCCACGGGUCCGGAUACGGUAUCGACAGACAGUCAUCAUCGUUCACGUCGAUUAUCGGCGGACCAACGUGGAAAAACGUGAUUUAUUAAGCACGAUUCGUGGCCCGGCCGCUCACUGACCCGCCUCGUUAUCCUUAUCGACCAAACAGUAUCGUCGUGGGGGCAACUUCCUGCUCAACGACGACGUCACGUCCCUAAUAAGAUUGCGUUUUACGCUCGUUUCCCUCGCGAGGACGUAUUUUUUUCUUUUUUUUUUCGCUCGACGACGCGAGCCAACUCGAUCCUCUCCCUUAUCUUCUUCUUCUUCUUCUUCUUCUUCUUCCCAUUCUCUCGACUCGUGUUUUGCGCGAAUAACACGAGCAAACACGUGCCUCGCGUAUGCGCAACUCGUCGUCGCACGCGAUAUCCCGCCUUUGAACGUUUUUCACUCUUUUUUCAUUCUUUCUCUGAUUUUUUCGCGUCGUCGUCGCGGUGUGUGUGGAAAGGAUUCGCAACAGGCGACGAGGCGAGAAUUAAUCAGCGGUCAGCGUCGUGGGAAUAGAAUGGUCGUUGAAAGUUGAAUGGAGCUGGACAUUGAAUGAAAUGGGAUUAUUCACGGGUUCUACGAGUGAGCAAUGAAUGUGGGAAAAUGGGACAAUGGCUGGAUGUUGGAACGAGGUGGUGAAGAAUUUGUGAAAUUUUUAAAUCCGCGUGUAAUCGUGCGGAACAGAGUUAACCGAUUUUCUCAUACUUGGUUGGUUUUUAAUGGCCAGUUAUCAGGCAAUUUGAGGAAAGCUGUUAGGGAUCGAGAAGUGGAGGUAGUAGUUAACAGCUGGCACUUAGAGUAGUCGGCGCCAUUAAUCAAUCGGAAUCAACCUGGGAUUUAGAAGCAAUCAAGCUUCGGCUGGCGAUCGAAGCAAUGAAUCUUUGUACGAACGCUAAUUAAAUCUUCGAUAGCUGGUGCAAAUUAUCUUCUUAAUUAACUUCUAACAACUGUACUGGACGAUGAACAUAUAUAUUUCUAAUAGCAAUAGGACAUUUCAAAAAUCAAGAAUUAUCUGCAGAUUUUUCCAAAGUCAAGGGGAGUCGUGGCAACAAAGAAGCGACUCGACUGCUUAGCAUAAUGGAGCGACGACGCAGCGGCCAGAGUAUCUGGCACACCCACCUUGAUCUUGGGUGGCAGGUCGUUGUUUAAGAAGAAGGAGAAGAGGCGACGAGUUGGGCAGGAACGGGAAGAAUUUCAGGAAGGCUUUCUUCAGGAUGAGAAGAGGGCUCGUUCCUUGCAUAAUUCAACGUGCCCUCAUCAAAAUCGGAAUUUUAAAGCUGGGAAACGUCCGCUGGGCGAGAAUGCACGCUUACAUUUACGAGCUCGGAAGAAUAUCGUCAUUGUCCUGAAAAUGUUAAGCUUCUUGUUUAUCUUAGCAGUUGAACGGGGCGACAAAAUGUAUGCAAAAGAGAGUCGGAGCAAGAUCGUGGCCGCUUACGAGCCGGAACGAAAGAAUCCGUAACAACGUUUCGUGGCUCGAGGCUGUACAUGUAAUACAUACUGGGUGUCCUGUAACAGGUGACCGAACCAAACUUCAUUUUUGCAAAAUGCAAUAAAUAUGCAAAAUCGUACCA
Molecule: long non-coding RNA, 1649 nt
Organism: Apis cerana (Asiatic honeybee)
Lineage: Eukaryota; Metazoa; Arthropoda; Insecta; Hymenoptera; Apidae
Source: RefSeq, a predicted model, not a curated record